GGUGGGUUGUCAGAGCGGCCGAAUGAGCCAGUCUUGAAAACUGGUGUACGGUGACCCCGUACCGUGGGUUCAAAUCCCACACCCACCGCCA
This 91-nucleotide transfer RNA is filed under the name Rarobacter incanus. RNAcentral's name for it is "tRNA-Ser". It matches the Rfam family "tRNA". Rfam says of the family: Transfer RNA (tRNA) molecules are approximately 80 nucleotides in length. Their secondary structure includes four short double-helical elements and three loops (D, anti-codon, and T loops). RNAcentral also lists the same sequence under 1 other name. The record is from RNAcentral. Lineage: Bacteria; Bacillati; Actinomycetota; Actinomycetes; Micrococcales; Rarobacteraceae.